AUAGCAGCAUUCCAAUGGUUGGAUACUUCGUUUGGAACGAAGAGGUUGCAGGUUCGAGUCCUGCCUGCUAUACGA
This 75-nucleotide transfer RNA is filed under the name Sphingobacteriaceae bacterium. RNAcentral's name for it is "tRNA-Pro". It matches the Rfam family "tRNA". Rfam says of the family: Transfer RNA (tRNA) molecules are approximately 80 nucleotides in length. Their secondary structure includes four short double-helical elements and three loops (D, anti-codon, and T loops). Further hydrogen bonds mediate the characteristic L-shaped molecular structure. tRNAs have two regions of fundamental functional importance: the anti-codon, which is responsible for specific mRNA codon recognition, and the 3' end, to which the tRNAs corresponding amino acid is attached (by aminoacyl-tRNA synthetases). tRNAs cope with the degeneracy of the genetic code in two manners: having more than one tRNA (with a specific anti-codon) for a particular amino acid; and 'wobble' base-pairing, i.e. permitting non-standard base-pairing at the 3rd anti-codon position. Lineage: Bacteria; Pseudomonadati; Bacteroidota; Sphingobacteriia; Sphingobacteriales; Sphingobacteriaceae. The record is from RNAcentral.